CCAUGAUCCAUGCCAUGCCCUUGGUGAUCUUGUAGGGAUAAAGAAACAUUUUAGAAGAAAACACAGCAACCACAAACAAUGGGUCUGUGAGAAAUGUUCUAAAGGUUAUGCUGUUCAAUCUGAUUAUAAAGCUCAUCUCAAAACCUGUGGCACCAGAGGCCAUUCUUGCGAUUGCGGCCGCGUUUUCUCGAGAGUUGAGAGUUUUAUCGAGCACCAAGACACUUGCAAUAUGGGACGUUUACGACCUGAAUUACAGUCACUACAGCCUGCAUGCUUGUCUAG
RNAcentral lists this unclassified non-coding RNA (282 nucleotides) under Hevea brasiliensis (rubber tree). Lineage: Eukaryota; Viridiplantae; Streptophyta; Magnoliopsida; Malpighiales; Euphorbiaceae. The record is from RNAcentral.